Molecule: non-coding RNA, 1609 nt
Organism: Zootermopsis nevadensis
Lineage: Eukaryota; Metazoa; Arthropoda; Insecta; Blattodea; Termopsidae
Source: RefSeq, a predicted model, not a curated record
CAGUCCCACUAUACGCCAUGUAGGCGCUUGGGGGAGCGAAGGUUUAGCUCCUACUCAUUCUUGACCUCGGCAGCAAUUUUGUUAUGAAUCUUAAUUUGCAGGGAUAACUUACAACAUUAUGAGACGUGUUUGGUAAUUCAUGGUAUUGUUUAAAAUGCAAAUUACUGAAAGGAUGCGAUGCCUGUGGUUUAGCAUUUCACCGCUACGUUUCCAUUGCCAUGACAAUGUUAACACUCGGGGCCGGAAUUUAUGCGUAUGAAGGUUGUGUUUCAUUUCAAGCUACAAUUCUGUUUUGAUUAAUGCUUUUCUUGCUGUUUUUUCAUGGGACGAGAAUAAGUGGUUUCUCUUCCCUGUUAAGUACACUGACGUUUCAGCCUCACAGACAGAAUAGUGCGUAGUAAAUUUGUUAUUAGAAUUUUAAAAGAUGACUAGCAUUAUUCAUUCAUCAGAAGGAGAGUCUGGAUGUGACCAGCCGAUUAUUUCUAAAGCACUGGAGAACAUGACAGUUGCAGCAGGUCUGCCUGUUGCAGGGAGCUUUGUUACAGAAAUCCAAAGCAUGAUGCAUGGGUUUGGAGAUGCCCGAAGUCCAUUACCAGAGUCUGCGAGCCUUAUAGAGAGUAUCGUUCAGCAACAGCAGAGGGCAGUCAUCAGUCAAGCUGCAGAUAUGGCUACAAUGCGUGGUUCCAAAUGCAUUGGUCCAGAAGACAUCUUGUUCCUCCUGAGGAAGGAUCGGAUUAAAAUGCACAGGCUGAUGAAGUACCUAGCUGUGAAGGACAUGAAGAAGAAUAUUAACAGUGUUCUUUUGGAAUCAUCACUGGAUGGGGACCUGAUGCUGGAGACACCUCGUGGUUCAGGAAAAAAACAAACUAAUCUGUGCAUGGACUUUCUGCGGUCGAUCGACCAGACCGGUGAGCUCACAGAUACAUGCACCUUGCCAGUUGACAUGGUCAAGCAUGAACGGAAUGUUCGUGCUGAGCGUUCAUCACGUGUGCUGGAUGAAACCAGGUAUCUGGAAUUUGUGAAUGCACGUAGAGCUUCAUUUGUCAGCCUGAAGUCGGCGUCAAAGUUUCGUGAGUUGCUGCAAACAAGUUCAGAUGGCAACUUUGAAGCUCUAAAACUUAGCGGCGUGACUUACGACUUACUGGGUUAUAUGGCUUAUGAAACAGUGGCGCAGAUUGUGGACUUGGCACUGCUUGUGAGACGCGACAGUUUGACACGUCCGGGCAUGCCAUUUAGCCGGUACAUACCAGGGGCAGGAUAUUCAACGAGCCAUACUCUGGACUCCCAACAGAUAGAGUUUGCUGAUCCACUAACCCCAGCUGAGAUCAGGGAGGCACUGCGACGUUACUGCAGCUGCUACAUCGGACCUGGUGCUGUGUUUACGUGCAGUGCUGCGUCACAUGCGCGCACACGUUUGUUAAGUUGUUGAUAGGAGUCACAUGAGCUGCGGCACAGUGUACUAAUGUUAAGUUAGGUUUAUUCCUAGGUAAUUUGAUGGAUCUCAGAGUAUUCUUUGUUUCGCAGAGGAGAAGAUGUAUUUAAUUUGUGAUUUAUGAAAAAUAUCAGAAUGAAUUAUGUAUACUCGUAAAUUAAAAGCUAAUUACAUACA